AUUACCGCGGCUGCUGGCACGUAGUUAGCCGGUGCUUAUUCUUACGGUACCGUCAUGACCCGAGGAUAUUAGCCCCAGGCUUUUCGUUCCGUACAAAAGCAGUUUACAACCCGAGGGCCUUCAUCCUGCACGCGGCAUUGCUGGAUCAGGCUUUCGCCCAUUGUCCAAAAUUCCCCACUGCUGCCUCCCGUAGGAGU
Molecule: ribosomal RNA, 197 nt
Filed under: uncultured bacterium
Lineage: Bacteria
Description: partial 16S ribosomal RNA
Source: RNAcentral